UUCUUARUGCUUGCACUAAGAUGAUUUUGGAUCCGACUGAGUGGCGAACUGGUGAGUAACACGUGGGUAACCUGSCCAGAAGAAGGGGAUAACACCUGGAAACAGAUGCUAAUACCGUAUAACAACAAGAACCACAUGGUUCUUGKUUGAAAGCUGGCCUUUGUGCUAGUGCUUCUGGAUGGACCCGCGGCGUAUUARCUAGUUGGUGAGAUAAUAGCUCACCAAGGSAAUGAUACGUAGCAGACCUGAGAGGGUAAUCUGCCACAAUGGGACUGARACACGGCCCAUACUCCUACGGGAGGCAGCAGUAGGG
This 313-nucleotide ribosomal RNA is filed under the name Fructilactobacillus sanfranciscensis. RNAcentral's name for it is "bacterial SSU rRNA". It matches the Rfam family "Bacterial small subunit ribosomal RNA", at positions 70 to 359 of the family's 1533-position model. The record is from RNAcentral. Lineage: Bacteria; Bacillati; Bacillota; Bacilli; Lactobacillales; Lactobacillaceae.